Molecule: long non-coding RNA, 635 nt
Organism: Mandrillus leucophaeus (drill)
Lineage: Eukaryota; Metazoa; Chordata; Mammalia; Primates; Cercopithecidae
Exons: 5
Source: RefSeq, a predicted model, not a curated record
AUGCUGGGCAAUAUAGUCCAGUAGUGUGGCUAGCAGGAAAAUUAAAGGGGUUUGGUGAAUCCAUUGCUCCUGCCAUCACCAGACUAAAGACCUGCUGUCUCAUCCACAGUCAGGGACUCAGUGGGCAAGCACUGUGGGCUGCAGACACCAAGCUCCACCCUGAUUCCCCCUCCACUCCCAGAGGUUCCACCCAGCUGGCAGGCUCACAGCACUGCAGCCCAGCAUCCGAAGUGGUACUGUCCCUAGGCUGAUGACUGCCACAUCUUUCCCUGGGUCAAAACGUUCCUCUGAGAUUCAGAUGUGUGUCAACAACUGGAGAGCAGGCUUGGAAUUUAAAAAUCAAGUUUUCAUGGAAAAUUCUGUAUACCUCUUUCUGCUUGCUUUGACUUUGGCCAUGUGGAAGAGAGAUGAGGUAGCACUUCCAGGAGAUCCGUCAAUCAACAUGUGAUUCUUAACACUUGAAUUAAAAGGAGAAUGGUCAUUAAACAGAAACUGCUGCUAAAAGUGACAAGCAACUUAGCAAUACACAUGAGGAGCAAAGAUUAUAAUUUAUGCAGCAUAUUUUCAUAUACAGGCAAAUCUGAUACAGAAGGAAAAACAAAUGGCUUGGAAUAAAACAAAAUCCUUAAAAUGUG